GGCUCAAUGGUCUAGUGGUAUGAUUCCUGCUUCGGGUUACGCCCUUCCAUCUGACAUGGGAAUGCAGGAGGCCCCGGGUUCGAAUCCCGGUUGAGCCC
RNAcentral lists this transfer RNA (98 nucleotides) under Xylaria bambusicola. RNAcentral describes it as "tRNA-Pro". It matches the Rfam family "tRNA". From Rfam's summary of the family: Transfer RNA (tRNA) molecules are approximately 80 nucleotides in length. Their secondary structure includes four short double-helical elements and three loops (D, anti-codon, and T loops). The record is from RNAcentral. Lineage: Eukaryota; Fungi; Ascomycota; Sordariomycetes; Xylariales; Xylariaceae.